Molecule: ribosomal RNA, 447 nt
Filed under: uncultured bacterium
Lineage: Bacteria
Description: bacterial SSU rRNA
Rfam family: Bacterial small subunit ribosomal RNA
Source: RNAcentral
UCGGGAAUUUUGGGCAAUGGGCGAAAGCCUGACCCAGCAACGCCGCGUGAAGGAUGAAGUAUUUCGGUAUGUAAACUUCGUAAGAAUAGGAAGAAUAAAUGACGGUACUAUUUGUAAGGUCCGGCUAACUACGUGCCAGCAGCCGCGGUAAUACGUAGGGACCAAGCGUUGUUCGGAUUUACUGGGCGUAAAGGGCGCGUAGGCGGUGUGUCAAGUCAGUUGUGAAAUCUCCGAGCUUAACUCGGAACGGUCAACUGAUACUGUCACACUAGAGUACAGAAGGGGCAAUCGGAAUUCUUGGUGUAGCGGUGAAAUGCGUAGAUAUCAAGAGGAGCACCUGAGGCGAAGGCGGGUUGCUGGGCUGAUACUGACGCUGAGGCGCGAAAGCUAGGGUAGCAAACGGGAUUAGAUACCCCAGUAGUCCCUGAGCGGGCUGGCAAGGCGCAU